This 129-nucleotide microRNA precursor is filed under the name Ornithorhynchus anatinus (platypus). RNAcentral describes it as "microRNA oan-mir-1327 precursor". The record is from miRBase by way of RNAcentral. Lineage: Eukaryota; Metazoa; Chordata; Mammalia; Monotremata; Ornithorhynchidae.
UUAACAAGGACUGUACUGGGGACUGUUCUUUAAAAGGCUGUUAAAUGAUGAUCCUAUAUUUUUUAACGUCAACAUCAUUUAGAAACCUUUUAGAGAACGGUCUUCCUCACCCACUACCACCGGCAAAAA